GACGAACGCUGGCGGCGUGCUUAACACAUGCAAGUCGAACGGAAAGGCCCUGCUUUUGUGGGGUGCUCGAGUGGCGAACGGGUGAGUAACACGUGAGUAACCUGCCCUUGACUUUGGGAUAACUUCAGGAAACUGGGGCUAAUACCGGAUAGGAGCUCCUGCUGCAUGGUGGGGGUUGGAAAGUUUCGGCGGUUGGGGAUGGACUCGCGGCUUAUCAGCUUGUUGGUGGGGUAGUGGCUUACCAAGGCUUUGACGGGUAGCCGGCCUGAGGGGGUGACCGGCAACAUGGGGACGGGGAUACGGCCCAGACUCCUACGGGGGGCAGCAGUGGGGAAUAUGGCACAAUGGGCGAAGGCCUGAUGCAGCAACGCGGCGUGCGGGAUGACGGCCUUCGGGUUGUAAACCGCUUUCGCCUGUGACGAAGCGUGAGUGACGGUAAUGGGUAAAGAAGCACCGGCUAACUACGU
This 467-nucleotide ribosomal RNA is filed under the name uncultured bacterium. Its description in RNAcentral is "partial 16S ribosomal RNA". It matches the Rfam family "Bacterial small subunit ribosomal RNA", at positions 28 to 506 of the family's 1533-position model. The record is from RNAcentral.